GCUUGUGGCCACACCACUGUGACAGCGCCCGAUCCUGUCUGAUCUCGGAAGCUAAGCGCGAUCGGACCCGUUUAGUACUUGGACGGGAGACCGCCUGGGAAUACCUGGUGCUGUAAGCU
This 119-nucleotide ribosomal RNA is filed under the name Stegastes partitus (bicolor damselfish). Lineage: Eukaryota; Metazoa; Chordata; Actinopteri; Pomacentridae. The record is from RNAcentral.